CCGGAACCGACAAUGGUAAUGAUGCUGAUAAUGAUGGUGGUUGGAACAUGAAUUUGGAGAAGAAAAGCGAAGAUUUUAAGAAGAUUUUGGAUGUUUCCAAGGAGGAGAGGGACCGCACUCAGCGAAUGCAGGUCAUUGAUCGGGCCGCGGCAGCGAUUGCGGCUGCUCGUGCCAUACUGAAGGAUAGGCAGUCUGGAAAUGAUAAGGCAAAUGA
Molecule: unclassified non-coding RNA, 214 nt
Filed under: Hevea brasiliensis (rubber tree)
Lineage: Eukaryota; Viridiplantae; Streptophyta; Magnoliopsida; Malpighiales; Euphorbiaceae
Source: RNAcentral